RNAcentral lists this ribosomal RNA (533 nucleotides) under Diaspis echinocacti. RNAcentral describes it as "partial 28S ribosomal RNA". Lineage: Eukaryota; Metazoa; Arthropoda; Insecta; Hemiptera; Diaspididae. The record is from RNAcentral.
AUCUGGGCGGCGGAAUUCAGGAUGGCUGGACGGGCUUCGCGCUCGCCCGGCCGUUUGAUAUUUCCGUCGCCGGUGCAGACGUCGCGACCUGUUCGUCGUCGGUCCUUGCUCGGAGGAAUCGCGAUCGAGUUCGUUGCGGGGCGCGUUUCGGCGCGUCUCGCGAUGAAGGCGCGGCUCUCUGGCUGACGACGGACAGUAAGCAACGGUGGCCGGCGCGGUGUCUCGCACUCCGCGUCCGGUGCCGGUCAGCGACGAUUUCUUCGGGCCUCUUUCCGACCCGUCUUGAAACACGGACCAAGGAGUCUAACAUGCGCGCGAGUCGCGGGGUUUCGAGCGUGCCACGGCGCGCUCGUUACUUCCGAAACCCGUACGUUGAAGGCGUAAUGAAAGUGAACAGGGAAGAUGGCGUUCCGAGUCCACGAACCGUGAUCGAGUAUCGCGGCCGGACGCCCGCACUCCCGGGGCGUCUCAAUGGCUCGUCGCGGAUGCGGACGGUCGUUCUUCGGGGCGGCCGUCGGUCUGCGACGGACCGA